RNAcentral lists this ribosomal RNA (460 nucleotides) under uncultured bacterium. RNAcentral describes it as "partial 16S ribosomal RNA". It matches the Rfam family "Bacterial small subunit ribosomal RNA", at positions 338 to 795 of the family's 1533-position model. The record is from RNAcentral.
CCUACGGGUGGCAGCAGUGAGGAAUAUUGGUCAAUGGACGGAAGUCUGAACCAGCCAUGCCGCGUGCAGGAAGACGGCCCUAUGAGUUGUAAACUGCUUUUGUACAAGGGUAAACCUGAAUACGUGUAUUCAGCUGAAAGUACUGUACGAAUAAGGAUCGGCUAACUCCGUGCCAGCAGCCGCGGUAAUACGGAGGAUCCAAGCGUUAUCCGGAUUUAUUGGGAUUAAAGGGUGCGUAGGAGGGUUGCUAAGUUAGUGGUGAAAGGUCCGAGCUUAACUCGGGAACUGCCUCUAAUACUGUCAGUCUAGAGAGUAGAUGCGGUAGGCGGAAUGUAUGGUGUAGCGGUGAAAUGCUUAGAGAUCAUGCAGAACACCGAUUGCGAAGGCAGCUUACCAAUCUAUAACUGACGUUGAGGCACGAAAGCGUGGGGAGCAAACAGGAUUAGAUACCCCUGUAGUC